Molecule: non-coding RNA, 738 nt
Organism: Odocoileus virginianus texanus
Lineage: Eukaryota; Metazoa; Chordata; Mammalia; Artiodactyla; Cervidae
Source: RefSeq, a predicted model, not a curated record
GGCUCCGGCGGUUGGCCGGCACGCCACUGCGCAUGUGUAUCAACUACGAGGGUGGGUGCUGGGGUUGAGGCUUUCGAUGAACACCACAGGCGCCACACCUGUGGGUGUUCAGAUGGAGCAGCUUCCUAGUCAUCCUGCUAAGAGAAGAGCCAAAGAGGAGGGUAAUACAGUGCCUCUUUGUCGAGCCAAACCCUCCCCCAGCUUUAUUAAUCUUCAAGCAAGUUCCUCACCAGUCACUUUCCUGAAAAUCCUGCCAAUGAAGUUGCCGUCAGGUAUUGACCACAAGCCCAAGGAAUGCCUAGGACUCCUAGAAUGUAUGUAUGCCAAUCGCCAGCUUCAGACCCAGCUUGCCCAACAGAUGGUUAUUUUGGAAAAUUUACAAGCAUCCAUGACACAACUGGCUCCUGGGAAAGAAAGCAAGAACUCUUCUCUCCCAGCCUUAUCUCGCAAUCUAUUGUUAAAUCACCUGCCCCAAUUCAGUAAAUGAAUUGUGAAACAAACAAACAAAAAAAUCUACAUUUCAGAUCUCCAGCUUCCAAAAGUUGAACAGUAAAGACAAGUGGAAAUAACUCAGCCUGACUGUCUUCAGUAUAGUGACCUGCAUGCUGUGGGUGCUUGACGUAAUUUAAAGGAAUUGAAUGCAUGGCCACAAAACUCAUAUCAGCCAUGAUCAAUUCAGAAACAAGGAGGGAGAAAUUGCUAUUUGUAAAUAAAGAGAAACUACAAUUUGUAGUCAUA